GGUUUGUGGCUCAGAGGUAGAGCGCUUGCCUAGCAUGCGUGAGGCCUGGGUUCGAUCCUCAGCACCA
RNAcentral lists this transfer RNA (67 nucleotides) under Marmota monax (woodchuck). RNAcentral describes it as "tRNA.Ala". The stretch from base 5 to 64 matches the Rfam family "tRNA", at positions 6 to 65 of the family's 71-position model. Rfam says of the family: Transfer RNA (tRNA) molecules are approximately 80 nucleotides in length. The record is from RNAcentral. Lineage: Eukaryota; Metazoa; Chordata; Mammalia; Rodentia; Sciuridae.